Non-coding RNA from Vicugna pacos (alpaca), 1072 nucleotides. The record is from RefSeq and is a predicted model, not a curated record. Lineage: Eukaryota; Metazoa; Chordata; Mammalia; Artiodactyla; Camelidae.
UCGGCUCUUAAAGGCGCCGCGCUCUGGGCCCUGGGGCCGCUGGCAUUCGGCCGGCAGGCGAUUUGGGGGCCCCCGAGGGACCCCUCCUCAAAAAGCUGUGACGACUUAGGGCGGUUCUAGCCGUCCCCUGCGCAGCCACUGUCGACGAAGCCCUCGCCUGUGCCUGCGCGCGGCCAAGCCCGGAAGCUGCGCGAAGACUCGCCGAGAGCUGGGCGGCGGUGUGAGUCCGUUUCCCGGGAGGAACCGGGGCCCAGGGCAGCGAAAGGCCUUCGUGGGUCACACCCCGCUGAGGAGGGGUUAUUCCCAGACGCCUUGCUUGGGACCCAGUGAAAUGCCACCUCUCCGCCAAGAGACAAGUGCGGGCAGCGCCUUGGCGAUCGCAGGAUCCGCGCACGGACCGGGAAACUGAGUCGCACGAGGUGCUUCCCCAGCAUGUCACAGAGAUGGAGCCACAUGACCUCCAUGGUGACCCUUCAGUUGGCCUGAUGCCCUUGUGAACCCCCUAGGGGGCCUUGCGAGCCCGUGGUCUGUUCCGUGGACAGGGUCAUUGGUAGCCAGUGUUUUGAGGCUCCCUCUCCGCUGUGUGGGGAUGGACUCAGCAGGGAAGAUCAAGGACACCAGCUCUGGAGUCAAUAGGUCUGGCUGUGCUGCCAGCUCUGCUGUGUGACCUGGGGGUACUCGUGUAACAGCUUCGGGCAAGGAGUUAGCGAGGGGACGCAGGAGAAGGCUCCAGACUGCUGCCCUGGGCACGUCAGUGCUGUCACGUGUCCCUCUGCCCUGCAGUCCCAGAAAUCUCAGCCUCAAGGCCGCCCUGGAUCAGACAGAGCCCCUGCCUCCACAGCCUUCUCUCAGCCCAGCCUGGAUCACUGCUGCUGUCCCCCUGGCUUCCCUGCUGGCCUCCUGGCGUCCCCUCCGAUCAUGUCACCUCCGAGCCUAGUGGCCUCAUCUGUAACAGGGCAGCGAUGGCCCCAACCGCUCAGGGCUUUUUCCUUCAUCAGGCAGGCUUCCUUCCUUCUCCUGCCCCAGCUUUAAUGAGGCACGAUGCACGUGGAAUAAAAUUCACCUUUCAGUG